UAGAGUUUGAUCCUGGCUCAGGACGAACGCUGGCGGCGUGCUUUAUACAUGCAAGUCGAACGAUGAAGUUCCUUCGGGAAUGGAUUAGUGGCGAACGGGUGAGGAACACGUGAGAAACCUGCCUUUCAUUCUGGGAUAACACCGGGAAACCGGUGCUAAUACCGGAUACUCCGUCUUGGCGGCAUCGCCGAGCCGGGAAAAAAUUUUGAUGAAAGAUGGUCUCGCGGCCUAUCAGCUAGUUGGUGAGGUAAUGGCUCACCAAGGCGACGACGGGUAGCCGGCCUGAGAGGGCGACCGGCCACACUGGGACUGAGACACGGCCCAGACUCCUACGGGAGGCAGCAGUAGGGAAUAUUGGGCAAUGGGCGCAAGCCUGACCCAGCGACGCCGCGUGAGGGAUGAAGGUCUUCGGAUUGUAAACCUCUUUCAGUAGGGAAGAAGCGAAAGUGACGGUACCUAAAGAAGAAGCACCGGCUAACUAUGUGCCAGCAGCCGCGGUAAUACAUAGG
RNAcentral lists this ribosomal RNA (509 nucleotides) under uncultured Actinomycetes bacterium. RNAcentral describes it as "bacterial SSU rRNA". It matches the Rfam family "Bacterial small subunit ribosomal RNA", at positions 1 to 531 of the family's 1533-position model. Lineage: Bacteria; Bacillati; Actinomycetota; Actinomycetes. The record is from RNAcentral.